This 372-nucleotide transfer-messenger RNA is filed under the name Candidatus Marinamargulisbacteria. Its description in RNAcentral is "GCA-002719695 sp002697535 Standard tmRNA". It matches the Rfam family "transfer-messenger RNA". Rfam says of the family: Bacterial tmRNA, also known as 10Sa RNA or SsrA, is named for its dual tRNA and mRNA-like properties. Its role is to liberate the mRNA from a stalled ribosome. The record is from RNAcentral. RNAcentral also lists the same sequence under 1 other name. Lineage: Bacteria; Bacillati; Candidatus Margulisiibacteriota.
GGGGGUGUUUUGGUUUCGACAGAAUAGAUCUUUGAAAUAAGGCGCGAGUCGAGGAGCUGCCCGGCCUCGUAAAAAGGCAGAAAACAAUAAACGCUACAACCGUUUUUGAAUUUGACUUCGGUCAUAACCAAGCUGUAGCUGCUUAAUUAAGUCAGUUGCCCAUUUUCUAGUCGAUGUUGGCUAGCUGGAAAAUGAUUUUAGCCAUCUAGCCUAGUUUGUCUGAUAAGCAAAUUAGUGUGAAAUUGAUUAUCUCGCGAUACGUUAACCCUGUUGUUGGGGAUGCGUAUCGUUAAAUUUAAACAGCAAACACACUCGUAGUGGCUUAUUUUUAAGCUGUUUUGGACACCGGUUCAAUUCCGGUCACCUCCACCA